Non-coding RNA from Schistosoma rodhaini, 45 nucleotides. Lineage: Eukaryota; Metazoa; Platyhelminthes; Trematoda; Strigeidida; Schistosomatidae. The record is from Rfam.
AUUCAGCUGACGAGUCCCAAGUAGGACAAAACAUGCGUCCUGGAU